CUGGAGGACUUGCUCACUUCACAGCUGCUAUAGGACUGAGAUAUUAAGCUGAAUUUCAAAGAGACUGUGAUACUUGGUGUGAAAAGCAGGAAAUAUUUCUUUUUGUCUUGUGUCUGUAAUUUUACAGGUCAGAAGCUGCAGCCUCAGCAGGCACCGAACUGCUCAAGAUGUUGAAUAAACUCCUGCAAUAUGUCCGUAGUGGAAAAAUCGGCACCACUGGCACAGGGAUCGGGAUUUUGUUUGCAUUUUACUGUCUGCGGGAAAAGAUGUGCGCUUGCUCAGGCCACACUUUUGAUUGCAAUGAAAUGGUGGUCGUGCCUGUUUUUUUAGUAUUUUUCCUGGUGCUCCUGAUAGACCAGACAUUUCGGAGCACAGCGGAGCAUCCAUCCACGCUUUUAUGCAUUGUACUAAAGCGCGUUAUCAGAGCGUUUCUAAUCAGUCUGCUGUGGAUUGUAGCUGUGUUGCUUUUUACAAACUGGUAUAGUUGCUGUACCACUGAUGAAAAAAAGAGGAAGCUGUUCUGUAAAUCUUGGCCCAACACAGCUACAACUAAUGAAACAGCUCAAAUGACUUGAGCUGAAAAUGAGGUCAAAGCUUGCUGCUUACUCUCUGCUCCUCAGCAUGACUGUUGUUGCUUUCUUCAUGACUUGGAGUGGGUGGAGAAAAUGGUUUAUAAAAAAAUUCAGUUGUUGCAACAAGAAAACUUUUUACUACAAACUGAUUUUGGAAGAAUAGAAAAAAGUUCUGGAGGAGCUUUUGAGGAAAGAAGCAAAUGAGACUCUGACUAAAGAAAUCACGAGCAACAUAAAAAGGAAAGACUGGGACGGCUGUUUAAAUGUUGCUCAACAAAUGAUCAGUAAUGCAAAACAUCAAAAACCAGAAGCAACCAACCAGCAGAUCAACUGGAUCAGUGAGGGGAGCUCCAGCAGAGGGGGACAGCAUCAUCAAGCAGCAGCACAUCAGCAGACAUCAGAGACACCGAACCGUUAUUUGAUGAAUACUUCUGAAAGAAGAUGAAGAGGUGCAGCUACAAAAUCAAUACAAAUGACCACUGACAAAUCCUGCCCAUCCAGCAGUCUGCUUUCUGAUGCUUACCUCGGUUCAGGUGUUGGGUGCAGCAGUCUGAUCAGAGACAGCCCGACCUCAUUUUCCUUUGUAGCUUCCUGCACCUCCCCCAGCUCCUCUGGAGUCCCACUGAGACGUUUACAAGUCUGCACGACACCCAGUCUCUCUGUAUGCAAUUUUUGUCAGACUAUGUAAAGUGUCCAUUCUGUGUUUUUGCUGUUUGGAAUGAUAAAUCUAAAGAAAUGUUUCCAUGUUUGUAUUAUGCUUUAUUUUUUUAUGUAGCCUAUUGAUAAUUCAGCUUUUACAUUAAUACACUUGCAAAUGGAGUGGUGUAAUGGAGUAAAUAACAUUCAUCAAAAUAAAGUGCUCUGUAAAAAACAAAACAAAUACCCUGUGAUAUUUUGUGGACUACCUUAUGCUUUAAUAGCAGCACAUGUUCCCUGUGACACUGUAUUGAAGCUUGUGCUGUGUCAUUUUUCACAGAGAUCUUAUCCUGAUGAUGGGAAAACUGGACCACUACAUGAAGUGUUCUCAAGCACAUCCUAAAGAUUCUCAGUGAGGAACAGGCGUAGACUCUGUGGUUGCCAUACAUGAUUUCAAGCUAUCUUAAUCACUGUACAUCAGGAAUACAAAAUAAAAUAAUGUGGUUCUGUAUAUUCAAGUAUUCACCUCAGCUAAUUUUUUGGGCACCUAACAUUGUUGAACCUCGAUCUCCAAUCCAAUCAGAAGACUCUUACCUCUUACCUGUUUUUAUGUGAUAGUGUUAAAAUAGUAUUUAGUGUUUUCUAGCUGGUUUUUUUUUUUCUUACUGCACAGUAAGAAGAAAGUCUACUACUUGUUUUUCUCUGCAUUUCAUUCACUCAGUGAAACAAUGGGCAGCCACUAAGCAGGCGCCUGGGGAGCAGUGUGUAGGGACGGUACCUUGCUCAAGGGUACCUCAGGGUAGCUGUUCAGUUGAUUCAAACCCC
Long non-coding RNA from Astatotilapia calliptera (eastern happy), 2033 nucleotides. Lineage: Eukaryota; Metazoa; Chordata; Actinopteri; Cichliformes; Cichlidae. The record is from Ensembl.